GACCUCAAAUCGGGUGGGACUACCCGCUGAACUUAAGCAUAUCAAUAAGCGGAGGAAAAGAAACUAACAAGGAUUCCCCUAGUAACGGCGAGUGAAGAGGGAAAAGCUCAAAUUUUGAAUCUGGUGUCUUUGACUCCCGAGUUGUAAUCUAGAGAAGUGUUUUCCGUGUCGGACCGUGCACAAGUUCCCUGGAACGGGGCGUCAUAGAGGGUGAGAAUCCCGUAUAUGGCAUGGACUACCGAUGCUUUUGUGAUACACUCUCAACGAGUCGAGUUGUUUGGGAAUGCAGCUCAAAAUGGGUGGUAAAUUCCAUCUAAAGCUAAAUAUUGGCGAGAGACCGAUAGCGAACAAGUACCGUGAGGGAAAGAUGAAAAGCACCUUGGAAAGAGAGUGAAACAGUACGUGAAAUUGUUGAAAGGGAAGCGUUUGAAGUCAG
RNAcentral lists this ribosomal RNA (436 nucleotides) under uncultured fungus. RNAcentral's name for it is "eukaryotic LSU rRNA". It matches the Rfam family "Eukaryotic large subunit ribosomal RNA", at positions 1 to 432 of the family's 3401-position model. Lineage: Eukaryota; Fungi. The record is from RNAcentral.